RNAcentral lists this long non-coding RNA (727 nucleotides) under Rattus norvegicus (Norway rat). RNAcentral's name for it is "long non-coding RNA NONRATT026035". Lineage: Eukaryota; Metazoa; Chordata; Mammalia; Rodentia; Muridae. The record is from RNAcentral.
GUGAGUGAGAGUGUUGGAGGUGGGCAGGAUCUUCCCAAGCCUGCUCAGCCUCACUUACCUCAUCCCUUCCUCAGCUAGAGCAGGGUCUGUGCAGUGGUGAGCAGGUAGAGCCUCUGGAAGGCCCAGCAGGCAGCAUCCUUGAGUGUCUGGUGCUCGACUCUGGAGAACUGGUGCCGGAACUUGCAGCCCCCGUCUUCUACCUGUUGGGAGCACUGGCUGGUAAGCAGCCCAUGGAGGGGACAGGAAGGAAGGACUGGGUUCUAUAUUGGGCAUUCUGGAACCCUCUCUCAGCCCAGAUCUCCCCCCAGGGUUGAGUGAAACCCAGCAGCAGCUACUGGCUACUAAGGCUCUGGAGGCAACGGUGCUGUCAAAGGAGCUAGAGUUGGUGAGAGGACAUGGCAUUGGGGGAUGCGAUGGGGCCCUGGGUACAGCGAGGAAGGUUGACACAGGCAGGCGUUGCAUCCCUCAGGCUCAAACUACAGGCCGCAUCUAUAACCUCUUACACUCUUCUGUUGGUAGGUGAAGCACGUCUUGGAACAGAGCACCCCAUGGCAGGAGCAGAGAUCUGUGCCCCUGCCCUCCAGGCUCCUUGGGGACAGCUGGGAUGAGGAGGCUCUCACCUGGGUCUUGCUAGAAGAAUGUGGCCUAACGCUGCAGGUGGAACCCCCCCAGGUAUACUGGGAACCAACAUCUCAGGGCCCCAUAUGUGCACUCUAUGCCUCCCUGG